GAGCGGAUGACAGGAGCUUGCUCCUUGAUUCAGCGGCGGACGGGUGAGUAAUACCUAGGAAUCUGCCUGGUAGUGGGGGACAACGUUUCGAAAGGAACGCUAAUACCGCAUACGUCCUACGGGAGAAAGCAGGGGACCUUCGGGCCUUGCGCUAUCAGAUGAGCCUAGGUCGGAUUAGCUAGUUGGUGGGGUAAUGGCUCACCAAGGCGACGAUCCGUAACUGGUCUGAGAGGAUGAUCAGUCACACUGGAACUGAGACACGGUCCAGGCUCCUACGGGAGGCAGCAGUGGGGAAUAUUGGACAAUGGGCGAAAGCCUGAUCCAGCCAUGCCGCGUGUGUGAAGAAGGUCUUCGGAUUGUAAAGCACUUUAAGUAGGGAGGAAGGGCAGUAAGUUAAUACCUUGCUGUUUUGACGUUACCGACAGAAUAAGCACCGGCUAACUCUGUG
This 448-nucleotide ribosomal RNA is filed under the name uncultured bacterium. Its description in RNAcentral is "bacterial SSU rRNA". It matches the Rfam family "Bacterial small subunit ribosomal RNA", at positions 64 to 507 of the family's 1533-position model. The record is from RNAcentral.